RNAcentral lists this transfer RNA (72 nucleotides) under bacterium. RNAcentral's name for it is "tRNA-Arg". It matches the Rfam family "tRNA". Rfam says of the family: Transfer RNA (tRNA) molecules are approximately 80 nucleotides in length. The record is from RNAcentral.
GUCCCCGUAGUUUAACGGAUAAAAUAUCGGGUUGCGAACUCGAAGCUGUGAGUUCGACUCUCACCGGGGACA